This 660-nucleotide ribosomal RNA is filed under the name uncultured bacterium. RNAcentral describes it as "bacterial SSU rRNA". It matches the Rfam family "Bacterial small subunit ribosomal RNA", at positions 352 to 1025 of the family's 1533-position model. The record is from RNAcentral.
CAGUGGGGAAUUUUCCGCAAUGGGCGCAAGCCUGACGGAGCAAGACCGCGUGAGGGAGGAAGGCUCUUGGGUUGUAAACCUCUUUUAUCAGGGAAGAAGAUCUGACGGUACCUGAUGAAUCAGCAUCGGCUAACUCCGUGCCAGCAGCCGCGGUAAUACGGAGGAUGCAAGCGUUAUCCGGAUUUAUUGGGCGUAAAGCGUCCGCAGGUGGUUUUUCAAGUCUGCUGUUAAAGCGCAGAGCUUAACUCUGUAACGGCGGUGGAAACUGAGAGACUAGAGUAUGGUAGGGGUUGCGGGAAUUCCCAGUGUAGCGGUGAAAUGCGUAGAUAUUGGGAAGAACACCAGCGGCGAAAGCGCGCAACUGGGCCAUUACUGACACUCAUGGACGAAAGCUAGGGGAGCGAAAGGGAUUAGAUACCCCUGUAGUCCUAGCUGUAAACGAUGGGUACUAGGUGUUGACCGUAUCGACCCGGUCAGUGCCGUAGCUAACGCGUUAAGUACCCCGCCUGGGGGAGUAUGCACGCAAGUGUGAAACUCAAAGGAAUUGACGGGGGCCCGCACAAGCGGUGGAGUAUGUGGUUUAAUUCGAUGCAACGCGAAGAACCUUACCAGGGCUUGACAUGUCGCGAAUCUCGGUGAAAGUCGAGAGUGCCUUCGGGA